This 771-nucleotide ribosomal RNA is filed under the name uncultured Neocallimastigales. Its description in RNAcentral is "partial large subunit ribosomal RNA". The stretch from base 3 to 661 matches the Rfam family "Eukaryotic large subunit ribosomal RNA", at positions 24 to 664 of the family's 3401-position model. The record is from RNAcentral. Lineage: Eukaryota; Fungi; Neocallimastigomycota; Neocallimastigomycetes; Neocallimastigales.
UACACGCUGUGACUAGCAUAUCAAUAAGCGGAGGAAAAGAAACUAACAAGGAUUCCCUCAGUAACGGCGAGUGAAGCGGGAAGAGCUCAAAUUUGAAAUCUUGAAAGGUCACCUUUCACGAAUUGUAGUUUAAAGAAGUGUUUUCUGUUACGAUCGUAAUAUAAGCUCUUUGGAAUAGGACAUCACAGAGGGUGAGAAUCCCGUCUAUGAUUGCGAUUUGUAGCUUUGUGAUACACUUUCAAAGAGUCGGGUUGUUUGGGAAUGCAGCCCAAAACGGGAGGUAAAUUUCUUCUAAGGCUAAAUAUUGGCGAGAGACCGAUAGCGAACAAGUACCGUGAGGGAAAGAUGAAAAGAACUUUGAAAAGAGAGUUAAAUAGUACGUGAAAUUGUCAAAAGGGAAGCGUUUAACACCAGUGUUGUUUUCUGAAAAUCAACCUCUGUUAGCUUUAUGCAUGUUUGUUUAGACCUAAUCAGCUAUCUUUCAUGUUCUAGUUGUUUGCAGUGGUGCACUUUUCAGUUUACAGGUCAACAUCAGUUUUUUUUACCGUAAAAAAGUUAAAGAAAGGUAGCUCAUGGCUCCGGUCGUGAGUGUUAUAGUCUUUUUCCUAUGCGGUAGGAGAGACUGAGGUCUGCAGUGUAGGCUAUUUGGCUAGAUACUCAGGUGCUAUGUGAUACCAUUUCAUAAACAACUUGUUGAUUAUGUUUUGUCUAUUGCAUACUCGCUUGUACUAUCAUACCUACGCUUAGGAUGUUGAGUAGCGACAUACGCAC